ACCGGCACCGGCAGGAUCUCCAUGAGGAAGACCUCCGCCAAGCCCAAGCCCGCUUCUUCCGGCAGCCCAUGGUACGGCCCUGACCGUGUCAAGUACUUGGGCCCAUUCUCCGGCGAGGCACCUAGCUACCUCACCGGCGAGUUCCCCGGUGACUACGGCUGGGACACCGCCGGACUUUCCGCUGACCCCGAGACAUUCGCCAAGAACCGUGAACUUGAAGUGAUCCACUCAAGGUGGGCCAUGCUUGGUGCUCUUGGAUGCGUCUUCCCCGAGCUAUUGGCCCGCAACGGUGUUAAAUUCGGUGAGGCGGUUUGGUUCAAGGCCGGAUCACAAAUCUUCAGUGAGGGUGGACUCGACUACUUGGGCAACCCAAGCUUGGUCCAUGCUCAGAGCAUAUUGGCCAUAUGGGGUGUCCAGGUUGUAUUGAUGGGAGCUAUUGAGGGCUACAGAAUUGCCGGUGGGCCCCUCGGAGAAGUUGUCGACCCACUUUACCCGGGUGGUAGCUUCGACCCGUUGGGUCUUGCUGAGGAUCCGGAAGCUUUUGCCGAGCUAAAGGUUAAGGAGCUGAAGAACGGGAGACUCGCAAUGUUUUCCAUGUUUGGAUUCUUUGUUCAGGCUAUUGUCACCGGAAAGGGACCGUUGGAGAACCUUGCUGACCACCUUGCCGACCCAGUUAACAACAACGCAUGGGCCUUCGCCACAAACUUCGUACCCGGAAAGUGAGCUUAGGAGCACAAAUUGUUGUUAGUAACGUUGUAUUGGUGUAAAUGAGUGAUUAGUUUUCAGCAUUAAGAAUACGCAUUGUGCCAUUUUUUUUCCUUUGGUUUGAUUAUAUUGAUCGAGUAUGAUAAAUUGUAUAAUCUCAAUGUAUCGAACGUUUGCUUCAUUUAGCGGUCUAUAUAUGGACAAAAAGCAUUUAAUUCCUUUCAGGUGAGAUUGCACAAUCAAUUGCUUACUCAAAAAGAUGUCAAUGGCAAAGAAACACCGAGGAGUACAAUUGGACCAUCUUCGUGUCGCUGUUGAAACCCUCACGCCUCCGUCUGUUUCGAUGGCUUAUCCCGUUUAUUCUCUGCAAAUAUUUUCUGAUGGCGCGAGAUAUUUGCAACUCUCCCCCCAUACUAUUCUGCAAAGCUGAGAAUCUGCAAAUUACUUGAGAAAAUUCAGAGCUUACCUUGAGUAUGCGACGCACACGUGUGUAGAGUUGGUUUCAGUCACAAGCCAUCAUAGAUAAUUUGGAUGAUCUUUGGUAAAUCCCCAAUCUCUGGGAAGUUCACUAUUCAUGUAAAUUCAACUGUAAUGAAUUAUUGGAGGAAGAACAUGAACAAGAGAAAUCGAGCUUUUGGUGGGUAAUCCUUCCAUGGUCACUUUUUUAUUCAACAAAAGCAAAUACGUACGAGUUUAAAAAAAUCCAGCCCAAAUCUAUCCUAUCACCACUAACCUACCAAUCCAUAUCACCUGCCAUUGUUCAUGGAUAAUGGAUUUAAGUUAUGUGCGUAUAUACAUGUAUACAUCGAGAACUGAAUAAUCACUGAUGCUUGUUGUCUAAGCUCGAAAAUCUUUUGUUUUUCAAUUGCAGAUAAAUCAUUUAGAUUGAAUUGAAUUGAAAUCCAUCACUAGAUAUUCAAUUGUUAGUUGUUACCAGGCCUUUAACAUUAUGAAUCGACUAACGAAAUCGGAGAAUCAAAGAAUUGACAUUUCAACCGUUGUAUUCCGACUAAGAAUUCCUGAAUAAAGUGGGAAUCACACAUGCAUUAAUUCACACACAUAAUUAGUUGAUAAUAAGUAACCAGAAUAUAUUGUUUCAGCUAAUGUUCGACAAUUGUUUAUGGCACAAUUUAUGAGGGGUAUGGCCGAGGGAGGUCCGAUUCUGUAAGUUCAGUCCCUUUAAAAAUGAAGAAAAACUAACCAUCAGUUGCAAUAUUUGGUGAUUCCUAUGUCGGAAUCUGAUCAACUGAUCUACAAAUAUAAUGGAUAGUCUGUUUAUGGCCAGACAUCAACUGUACUCCGAUUGUAUGCAUGUCUUGUUCAAAUGCACUGUGUAAAAAUCCCGAAUUAGUCCAUUGGAGAUGUUAUAUUUCAAUUAUAUUGUUGUUCUUUGUUAAGGAUUUCUAUCCAUUUAUGCCUAAAUCUUAUCUUCAAUAUUGAAUCUUUUUUCAUUUAUAUCUCGGUGUGUAGAUAGUUUGACAGCUUCGUAGUUGAUAGCUCUUCUAGUUUUUGCAGCUUAGUUGGUACGUGAUACUCAUCGGAUUUGUUACUAUGACUCGAGCACCGGAAAAGCAGAUUCACAUUCGUUGAAUCCCAUAUAAAUAGCAUUAUAUAAAAUAUAUCAAUAAUUUACAUCAGCCUUAAUUCAUUACACUCUUCUAUGUGAACUUCACUUUCCAGGUACGAAGUUUGUGGCAAAUGCCCAGGCAUUGUUGUUAACUGGGUCGGCAAGAUGGUCAGCGAGGUUCUCCAAUGGUCCCUUUCCGGUAACAAUAGCUUGAACAAAGAAUCCGAACAUGGAGAACAUUGCAAGUCUCCCAUUCUUCAGCUCCUUUACCUUUAGCUCAGCGAAAGCUUCCGGAUCCUCGGCAAGGCCCAAUGGGUCGAAGCUACCACCGGGGUAAAGUGGGUCAACAACCUCUCCGAGGGGCCCACCGGCAAUUCUGUAGCCCUCAAUAGCUCCCAUCAAUACAACCUGGACACCCCAUAUGGCCAAUAUGCUCUGAGCAUGGACCAAGCUUGGGUUGCCCAAGUAGUCGAGUCCACCCUCGCUGAAGAUCUGAGAUCCGGCCUUGAACCAAACCGCCUCACCGAAUUUAACACCGUUGCGUGCCAAAAGCUCGGGGAAGACACAUCCAAGAGCACCAAGCAUGGCCCACCUGGAGUGGAUCACUUCAAGUUCACGGUUCUUGGCGAAUGUCUCGGGGUCGGCGGAAAGUCCGGCGGUGUCCCAGCCGUAGUCACCGGGGAACUCACCGGUGAGGUAGCUAGGUGCCUCACCGGAGAAAGGACCCAAAUACUUGACACGGUCAGGGCCGUACCAUGGACUGCCGGAUGCGGCGGGCUUGGGCUUGGCGGCGGUCUUCCUCAUUGAGAACCUGCCGGUGGUGGUGAAUUCGGGGGUGGACUUGACUGCCUGCCCGGCGAAAGUGGGGGAAGACAAGGCCAUUGAAGAGGCAGCCAUUUAUGGAAAUGGAAGGGAAGUGUUUGCUUUCUUGAGUGUGUAUGAGUAGAAAGAGGGAAGUAAGUAGUGUUGGUGAUGAUGACAAGGGAAGAUGGCAGUUAUUUUAUAGCUAGACGGGAGGAGGAGGUUGCUUCGACCAGACACCCGGUGAAAAACACCGGGUGUAGGGUCGAACAAAUCGGAGGAGGAAUGGUGGUUGAUCUUAUCCUGUGAUAUCUAGCCUAUCUCUUCUUUCAUUGGGUUUUCAAGAUCCCAUUGUAUCUAAGAUUUUUUUUUGGAGUUCUGCCAAUAAUAUCUCAAUUGAACACUCUGUAACUGGGACAUUCGGACUUGUACAUUAUUACAGAUAAUGAGCAAAGACAAAAGAAAAGUUUACAUUACUCUUAAUAAAUUAGUACAAGUACAUUUAAACUACAAAAUUAUCCUUUUAUUUGAAAAAUUAAAUAUAUACCCCUAAAAACUAAUUAUGUGUAACAAACUUUAAUAGAGAUUAUGAAAUAUUUUUUUUGCCACUGAAAAAGAAAAUUGUUAGAAUAUCCCAACAUUGAAAUGGAUGUUUUGCCCUUGUAUUAUUUAUUUUUUUUUAAAUGAAUUUUUUCAUAAAAAAAUAUUUUAUAAUUUAGAAGGUUACUUUCUCUUUUUUUUUUUUUUUUUUUUUUGAGAAUAAAGGUUACUUUCUCUUACUCAUACGUGUAUGCAGUGGCGAAUCCAGGAUUUUUGCCAAGGGUGUUCGAAAUUAAAUAUAGUAAAAAAUAUAAUGGUUGGCUAACAGUUUACGGGGGUUCGGGGGCAGCGUCCCCGAUUUUUUUUUUUUUUGAAUACUGUACACAUUAAAUAAUAAAAAAAAAAAAAUUUAAAGGGAUUAGUUUACCAUUUUUGGGCAAAUUUAGAAAAUAUUUAAACAUAAAAUUGGUGAAAAUAUUAAAGGAGUGGUAAACAUAUUAAAGUUGCAAGUGACAAAAUGUACGUUUCAUUAUCAUAUUUUGAAUGUUCAAAAAGAAAAAAAAAACUCACAUAGUUGUAAAUAUAGAAAAAAAAUUGAAAUAAUACAUAUAUAUACAAUAUUUAGAAUUUUGGAAUAAUUUAUAUUAUAUUUAAUAUUAAAGAAAUGGUAAAUAAAUUAAAGUUACAAAUAGCAAAAUAUAUGUUAUAUUAGGAGAUUUUUUUUAAAUAUUAAAAAAUACCUACAUAUUCAACAUUUUUUAAAACAAUUGAAAUAUUGAAUUUUGGAAUAAUUUAUAUUAUAUUUAAUAUUAAAGAAAUGGUAAAUAAAUUAAAGUUACAAAUAGCAAAAUAUAUGUUAUAUUAGGAGAUUUUUUUUUAAAUAUUAAAAAAUACCCACAAAUUCAACAUUUUUUAAAACAAUUGAAAUAUUCUAUGUAAUGGAAAAUUAGGAAUAAAAAAGAAAAAAUAAUAGAGAGGUUCAGACUCUUGUAAAGGUCUCGAACCCUGUACCUCUGCAUGAUUCUAUAGAGCACUUAACCAGUUAAGCUACAGCAAUGCAUUGGCCAGGUUUUACAUUUGCAGUUAUAUAGUACUAAAUAUAUACGAAAUAUAUUUUUUUUAAAAUCAAGGGUGUGCAGUAGCACACCCUUGGACCACACUAGAUACGCCACUGCGUGUAUGUCACUCGUACAAGAUGAAAUUCAGUAAAUAUUCUGGUCAGCAAAUUUUUCUAUUUUUUAUAAUUUCACCAGUCUGGUUGUUAAUUUUCAUCUUUUGGUGGAAGCAUUAGUUGUUUACUACUCUCUUUGAACAUUAUUUACAGUACAGUAAGAAAAGCUCUAGAACAUAAACUAACUAAAAAUAGUACUCUGCGAUUGGAUUCCUGAAGUCCAGUACACUUGAUGUUGUGGCAAUGCUUCAAUAUCAGGAUUUCCAGAUAUCCACACCAGAGCUCCGAUCCUCAUCCAUGCAUCUCGAUUUUCAUAAAUCAAUCUCCAGCCGCACACUUGGCAGAACCUCAUUGGCCAAAAGAUCCCAAGAGGAUUAGUGGUGAUAGCCGUUGCCAACUGUACAUAUAUGCCACGUCAAGAUUACCGAAUAUCGCCUGCCUAGCAAUAGCAACCUAGAUAAGGAUAUUCAUAGAUAAGCCCGAUUCAUAUAAAUACAUUCCCUCGUCUGCCUUAGAAAUAAACCCAUCAACAAACACAAACAGCCUCCUUUGCAAAUAAAUACACAUUCUUUCAUUUCAUAAUAUACAUCAAUGGCUGCCUCUUCAAUGGCCUUGUCUUCCCCCACUUUCGCCGGACAGGCAGUCAAAUCCACCCCUGAAUUCACCACCACCGGCAGGUUCUCAAUGAGGAAGACCGCCGCCAAGCCCAAACCUGCAUCGUCGGGCAGCCCAUGGUACGGCCCCGACCGUGUCAAAUAUUUGGGCCCAUUCUCCGGUGAGGCCCCCAGCUACUUGACCGGCGAAUUCCCCGGUGACUACGGUUGGGACACCGCUGGGCUUUCGGCUGACCCUGAAACGUUCUCCAAGAACCGUGAGCUUGAAGUGAUCCACUCCAGGUGGGCCAUGCUAGGUGCUCUUGGAUGUGUCUUCCCCGAGCUAUUGGCUCGCAACGGUGUUAAAUUCGGUGAGGCGGUUUGGUUCAAGGCCGGAUCACAAAUCUUCAGCGAAGGUGGGCUCGAUUAUUUGGGCAACCCAAGCUUGGUCCAUGCUCAGAGCAUCUUGGCCAUUUGGGGAGUCCAGGUUGUAUUAAUGGGAGCUAUCGAAGGCUAUAGAAUUGCCGGUGGGCCCCUCGGUGAAGUUGUCGACCCACUUUACCCCGGUGGUAGCUUCGACCCAUUGGGUCUUGCUGAGGAUCCGGAAGCUUUUGCGGAGCUCAAGGUUAAGGAGCUAAAGAAUGGAAGACUUGCAAUGUUCUCGAUGUUCGGAUUCUUUGUUCAAGCUAUCGUCACCGGAAAAGGACCAUUGGAGAACCUUGCUGACCACCUAGCUGACCCGGUUAACAACAAUGCAUGGGCCUUUGCCACUAACUUCGUACCCGGAAAGUGAAAUUGACAUAGGUAAUGAUGAAUUCGGAUUGAUUAAUUAAGGAUGAUGUAUGUAAAGUAGUGUGAAUUAUUGGAAUAAUUAAUAUAAUGUGGUUUUAUGUGCUUCAACGAUUUCUAUUGUUGCUUUUGCAUUCAUAUAAACAAACCUAAAUUGAGUUAGAUUACAUUAUAUUCACAAGGAAAUUAUGUUCAUAUUAUUUGAAGAACUUUUGUCCGUGCGGAUAAUCUCAAUCUGCUCAAUAAAUUAUCUGUUCAUCUGCUUACUUGGGAAAGUACUCAACGCCGACGUUUUGGCUGUGGCUAAUGGGCUAAUUACAUCAUCUAAUCAUACUCGCGCGGAUUUGAAGAUCCAGAAGUUAUGGGCCCAACGGAAGUGUUCAGAAAUCUCUCUCUCUCUCUCGCUUAUUUCUCUGUCUUCUUCGGUUCUUCACUCUUUCCUAUUUCAUAUCUUCAUUUCUGCAAAUUAUAUAUAAAAAACCUUCCAAUUCUGCAUGUUGUUCUUUAAACAGUUUCUCUUGAGAUCAGAUUUGAUGAGAUUCGGUGUGCAUAUCACCUGUUUGAUGAAAUUUAUGUGCGAACGAAAUUUGACAUCUUGCAAACUUUUUAGUAACAGAGGUAUUAGAAAAACUAAGAUCAACCAAUAAAAAUAUUAAGCAACUGUAACUCCGAAAAUCAUCAAGUUCUUGAAAGCCAAAAUCUGAAGUUGGGCGUUUUAUAUAUGGGCUGGAUUAGUUCUUGAAAGCCCAAAUAUGUUAAAAAAUUAAUAACAUCGAUUAUUUCUUCCAUUAGAUCAAACCCAUAUACACGAGGCAUUGCAUUAAUGCUUAAUACUAAUCACUCAUUUACACUAGAGAAUUAACAACAAUAGUGGGCUCACAUUAUCCCAACUGAAAACACAUUCACUUUCCCGGUACGAAGUUGGUGGCAAAGGCCCAUGCGUUGUUGUUAACCGGGUCAGCAAGGUGGUCGGCAAGGUUCUCCAACGGUCCCUUUCCGGUAACAAUAGCCUGAACAAAGAAUCCGAACAUGGAAAACAUUGCUAGUCUCCCGUUCUUUAGCUCCUUAACCUUUAGCUCGGCAAAAGCUUCUGGAUCCUCAGCAAGACCCAACGGGUCGAAGCUACCACCCGGGUAAAGUGGGCCGACAACUUCACCGAGGGGCCCACCGGCAAUUCUGUAGCCCUCAAUAGCUCCCAUCAAUACAACCUGGACACCCCAUAUGGCCAAUAUGCUCUGAGCAUGGACCAAGCUUGGGUUGCCCAAGUAGUCGAGCCCACCCUCGCUGAAGAUUUGUGAUCCGGCCUUGAACCAAACCGCCUCACCGAAUUUAACACCGUUGCGUGCCAAAAGCUCGGGGAAGACGCAGCCUAGAGCACCAAGCAUGGCCCACCUUGAGUGGAUCACCUCUAGUUCACGGUUCUUGGCGAAUGUUUCGGGGUCAGCCGAAAGUCCAGCGGUAUCCCAGCCGUAGUCACCGGGGAAUUCGCCGGUCAAGUAGCUAGGUGCCUCACCGGAGAAUGGGCCCAAGUACUUGACACGGUCCGGGCCGUACCAUGGGCUGCUGGAUGCGGCGGGCUUGGGCUUGGCGGAGGUCUUCCUCAUGGAGAUCCUGCCGGUGCCGGUGACUUCGGGAGAGAGCUUGACAGCCUGUCCGGCGAAAGACGGAGAAGAUAGAGCCAUUGAAGAAGCAGCCAUUGAAACUAGGAAGAGGGAAGUGUUUUGCUUGUGUGACUGUUUUAAUUAAUGAGUAGAAAGAGGAAGUGUUGGUGAUAAGGGAAGGAAAUAAAGCAGUUAUUUAUAGUUAGGCGCGGGAGGAGGAAUGGUGGUUGAUCUUAUCUUGCAAUAUAUAUAGAGAUUAGCAGCAUCUCUCUUCUUUCAUUGGAUUUUCAAGAUUUGAUUCUACAUUUGGCCUCUUCUGCCUGCUCAGUUGGCAAAUUAUAGUCCAUCAUUUCAUAUUUUUUCUCUCAAUAAAAUCUAGACCAAGAUUUUUUGCACGCACCUUGCAUUUCAGUUGGUGUCAUAAAUAAAUUAAAUUACAAAAUCCCCCCUCAAGUUUAUAUAAAUUACAAAAUCCUCUAUUUUUUGCAAAGCUAAACUUACCUCUCAAAUUAGCAAAAGUUGUGAAAUAUCCAAAUGCUCUUGAAUAGGGUUGUGCACGGAUCGGUUUUAACUACCAACCAACUCAUUUUCGACCCAUAAUUUGUGACGGAUAAUUAAUCAUCAACCGACCCAUUUAAGUUGGGACGAUAAUGUCAACCAACCCAUGUGUAGUUGGGUCGAUAAUGAUUUUUAAUAUGGUAAAAAGUUGGUUAGUCGGGUAAUAUCGGUCAACCAACUUUAUUUAUGAACUUAAUAUUUAUUAAUUUUAUUUACAGUGUUUAUUAUUUUUAACUUCAAAUUUCUAUUUCAUAUCACAUUUAUGAAAUUUUCUAAUAUUGAUCAAAAUCCUAAAAACAAUAAAUCUAACCUAAUUAUCUCAUUUGAACUAUUUGAAUUUUAAAACAUAUAGCCUAAAAUAUUUGGACGAUUAUUAAUUGUUUAAUUAUUUAUGUUUAAUUGCAAUACAUAAAAUUUUGUAUUCAAAUAUUGUUGAACUAGUCAUACUUAAUUGUAAAAACAUAGUGUUGCAGCAACUAAUAAAAUAUUAAGGAUGACCCAUCAACCAAACCAUCAAUCGACCCUAAAUUGGUUGUCAACCACCACCCAACCCAUGUCAAUUGGGUCGAUAAUGGUUUUCAAUAUUUACUAAAUUUGGUUGGAUGAGUUGGGUUGAUUUUAUGGCUGGUUUUUAACCAAUCCAACCAACGCAGAGCCCUACUCUUGACGAUAUUUUUUUACUUUUUCUUAAUAUGUUUUUUUUACAAUUUCUUAAUAUUAAAACAUAUGUUAUUUUCAAAGAAGAAUAGAGAGAUUUUUUUACAAUUCUCCAGCCACACACUUGGCAAAACCUCAUUGGUCAGAAGCACAUACUCACAAUCACCUGUUGUCCUCUUCUUCAUGUGAUUCUUACAACCUCAUGUAUGAUAGCUCCAAAAUUAUUCAAAGAGGAUUAGUGGUGAUAGCCGUUGCCAAAUGGGCAUACAUAUAUGCCACGUCAAGAUUCCCAAAUGCCACCUGUAUAUCAUAUCACUACCAAUCUAGAUAAUGAUAUUCAUAGAUAAGGCUCUCAUGUCAUUAUAUAACACUAUUAAUUCAUAUAUAAAUACCUUGAUUUGCCUGCCUUAGCAAUCAACCCAAACAAACACAUUCUCUGCAAAUACACAUUCUUUCAUUUGAUAAUACAACAAUGGCUGCCUCUUCAAUGGCUCUAUCUUCCCCAUCCUUCGCCGGACAGGCAGUCAAGUCCACCCCCGAAUUCACCGGCAACGGUAGAGUCUCAAUGAGAAAGACCGCCGCCAAGCCCAAGCCCGCCUCUUCCGGAAGCCCAUGGUACGGCCCGGACCGUGUAAAGUACUUAGGCCCAUUCUCCGGGGAGGCACCGAGCUACUUGACCGGCGAAUUCCCCGGUGACUACGGCUGGGACACCGCCGGACUUUCGGCUGACCCCGAAACAUUCGCCAAGAACCGUGAGCUUGAAGUGAUCCACUCCAGGUGGGCCAUGCUUGGUGCUCUUGGUUGCGUUUUCCCCGAGCUAUUGGCUCGCAAUGGUGUCAAGUUCGGUGAAGCAGUUUGGUUCAAGGCCGGAUCACAAAUCUUCAGCGAAGGUGGGCUCGAUUAUUUGGGCAAUCCAAGCUUGGUCCAUGCUCAGAGCAUAUUGGCCAUCUGGGGAGUUCAAGUUGUAUUGAUGGGAGCUAUUGAGGGCUACAGAAUUGCCGGUGGGCCCCUCGGUGAGGUGGUCGACCCACUUUACCCGGGCGCUAGCUUCGAUCCACUGGGUCUUGCUGAGGAUCCGGAAGCUUUUGCGGAGCUCAAGGUAAAGGAGCUCAAGAACGGGAGACUCGCAAUGUUCUCAAUGUUCGGAUUCUUCGUUCAGGCCAUCGUUACCGGAAAGGGACCAUUGGAAAACCUUGCCGACCACCUAGCCGAUCCAGUUAACAACAACGCAUGGGCCUUCGCGACAAACUUCGUACCUGGAAAGUGAAGUUGACACAGAGAUGAGUGUAAUGAAUUAAUUGGGAUUGAUCAAGAAUGAUGUAAAGUUAUUGUGAAUUAUUUGAAUAUUAUAUAUAAUGCCUAGUUUUAUGGGCUUCAACAGAAUGUAAAUGUUGCUUUUUCCGUCUCUGCAUUCAUAUUAACAAACUUGAUGAGUUAUCAGACGAUAGAUUCAUAAAUGGAUAGAAAUAAUUAACAAAGAAAAAUAACAGUAUAUUGGAACAUUUAUCUUGAAUGAAAGUACUAAAAUUGGAAUCAAGUAAAAUAAGUAGAGCAAAUCAAUCAUAAAUGGAUACAAUACGAGAGCAUAUCAAAUCUUUAAUUACCUUUUUUGUAUAUGUAUUUUCAUAUCAUCAUAUGCCUCUAGAUGAAAAUAAGAUGCUACUGAAUUAAGAUACGUACCCAGGAAAUCUGGAAUGUGGAUCGAAGAAGAAAAGGCAGAAGAGGGGAAUUAGCGAAUUAGGGCUCAAAAAUUAGGCGUCGAAUGAUACGACAACGUUUUUGGCGCACUGGAAAUAUUUCAAGUAAGAUGACUGGGCUUUAUUUAUGGACCGAAUGUAUUGGGCUGAAUUGGGAAACAAAUAAAAUAGGUGGUCUGGUCUAUUUACAGAAAAACCGUAGAAUCUUAAAUAUUUCUUAGACUUUAUUCAAAAAAAAAAUAAAAAAUUCUUAGACUACUUAUUAGUAGACAUCUUCUAUACUAUCUAUUUGAUUUAUAAAAAAAAAAAAAAUUAAAAUUCAGUUGAAAUUUUUUGUAAUCUUUUAGUAAAAAAUGCUUGCCAAAGUAUUCCAAUUUUUUCUUUUAAUUUUUUUGUGAUUUUACACAAUGAUUAAAAAAUUAGUGGAACAUUUUUUAAAUUAACAUUUACUUGCUUACUUGUUAGUAAACAUCUUCAGUACUAUCUAUUUGAGAGAGAAGAAAAUAUAAAUAUUUGUUUUGAAUUUUUUUAUGAUUUUUAGCAAUAAGCGUGUGUUAGUACGCGAUUGUUUUGUAAUUUUGCUCGACUAUUAAAAUAUUUGUCAAAUAAUUUUUAAAUGAACGUCAAAUAAAUUAGAGCAUCUCUAACGGCUCAUUUUUGUUUGUUAAAGUUUACACAAUCUGUCUGAAUAUAGGAUGCUGUUCUUUAUCAAGUACUUGGAAAAAAAAACUUAGUUAUGCUUGAAAUUAUUAAAAAAUAAUUCAAGAAACAAUUGGAAACAAUCAGCCGAUUGUAAGACACCAAAAUUCAUAUGUUUUCUAUUAGAUCAAACACAUUUACACCAGAGGCAUAAUAGCAUUAAUGUGAAACCUAGUCAAUCAUUUACAGCAAUGAAUUAAGUAAGAACAAUUUAUCCGAUCACCAACUCCCACCUCAUUCUUGAAGCUCACUUUCCGGGUACGAAGUUUGUGGCAAAUGCCCACGCGUUGUUGUUAACGGGGUCAGCAAGGUGGUCUGCAAGGUUUUCCAACGGUCCCUUUCCGGUGACGAUAGCUUGAACAAAGAAUCCGAACAUUGAGAACAUUGCUAGUCUACCAUUCUUGAGCUCCUUCACCUUUAGCUCGGCAAAAGCUUCCGGAUCCUCAGCAAGACCCAACGGGUCGAAGCUACCACCGGGGUAAAGUGGGUCAACAACCUCUCCGAGGGGCCCACCGGCAAUUCUGUAGCCCUCAAUAGCUCCCAUCAAUACAACCUGGACACCCCAUAUGGCCAAUAUGCUCUGAGCAUGGACCAAGCUUGGGUUGCCCAAAUAAUCGAGCCCACCUUCGCUGAAGAUCUGAGAUCCGGCCUUGAACCAAACAGCCUCACCGAAUUUAACACCGUUGCGUGCCAAUAGCUCGGGGAAGACGCAUCCAAGAGCACCAAGCAUGGCCCACCUGGAGUGGAUCACUUCAAGUUCACGGUUCUUGGCGAAUGUCUCGGGGUCAGCGGAAAGUCCGGCGGUGUCCCAGCCGUAGUCGCCGGGGAACUCACCGGUCAAGUAGCUAGGUGCCUCACCGGAGAAUGGGCCCAAGUACUUGACACGGUCAGGGCCGUACCAUGGGCUGCUGGAUGCGGCAGGCUUGGGCUUGGCGGCGGUCUUCCUCAUUGAGAUCCUGCCGGAGCUGGUGAAUUCGGGGGUGGACUUGACUGCCUGUCCGGCGAAAGAUGGGGAAGAUAGAGCCAUUGAAGAGGCAGCCAUCGAAGGAAAGAGAAGUGUUUUCUUUUACUUGGUUUUUUGGGUUGAAAGAGGAAGUGUUGGUGAUGAUGGAAAUUAAAGAAAGAUGGUAGUUAUAUUUAUAGGUAGGCCGGAGGAGAAAUGGGGAUCAAAUCUUAUCUAUUGAGAUAUCUACCAUAUCUCUUCAAUUCUUUCAUUGGGUCCUCAAGAUUACUCAACUUUGUUUUCUUCACUGUUUUUUUAUUUCAACAAUUCAAAUCAGAGCUAUACACUGCAUCCAACUGCAUAAUUUACUGAAUGAUGACUUUCUAUACUCACUUGAUAAUAGUUGCAUAGCAGUUUAAUCAAAUCUUAAAAGAAGUGGCAUUAAUUCUUCAUAGAAGGUAACAUUUGGAGUUAUGCAUUGAUCAGAAUACAGAUACCGAACAAAGAACGACAGAAAAGUUGGGGUCGAACUUGAUCGUGGAUAUUAACAAUAUUACUAAUUUAUUUCUCAUCAAUUUGUUUUAGUGAACUGAUGCUGCUCUACUAGUUGUAAAGAGAAUAUUGAGCAGGAGCAACUAAACCGGAAAUUCUUUAACGAACAAACACCAAUAUUACUCGUUUUUUCUUCGUCUUUACGGAAUGGUGAAUUUAUUUUUAUCUCAAAAUUAAACCAUGUCAUUGAAAAAUUAUGAUCUUAUGGUUAAUGUAUUUACUUUUAAUACCAACUGGAUAUCAGAUCACGUUCAUUGGGACACUAUAUUUAGUAUAGCCACAAAAACUCCAAACAGAUUCAUCAAUUCUUGAUUUUAAUUUGGGGUUUAAUUUAUUUUUGUUACAUCCUUUUGUCUUUUACCUCAAUAUCUUAUGCAUGUGGCAAUGCUUCAAUUUCAGGAUACCUGGUUAUCCACAGCAGAACUCCUCUCGACCAAGCAUCUCUGAUUUUCCAGC
Molecule: long non-coding RNA, 13329 nt
Filed under: Erythranthe guttata (spotted monkey flower)
Lineage: Eukaryota; Viridiplantae; Streptophyta; Magnoliopsida; Lamiales; Phrymaceae
Description: long non-coding RNA (EGUT_LNC002453)
Source: RNAcentral